Balaenoptera musculus (blue whale) is the source of this 103-nucleotide small nuclear RNA. NCBI's taxonomy places the organism in Eukaryota, Metazoa, Chordata, Mammalia, Artiodactyla, Balaenopteridae. The record is from Ensembl.
UUGCUUUAACUGCACAUAUACUGAAAUUGGAAUGAUAUAGAGAUGAUUAGCAUGGCGCUCUGUAAGGAUGAUAGACUCGUGAAGUGUUCCACAUUAAAUUUUU